GGAGUAUGAACCGUAUCUCAGUUCCAUUGUGGCUGUUCAUCCUCUCAGACCAGCUACUGAUCGUCGCCUUGGUGGGCUUUUACCUCACCAACCAGCUAAUCAGACGCAGAUUCCUCUCUUCGCGAUAAAUCUUUAAUCGUUAAGCCAUGCGACUCAACGAUAACAUCCGGAAUUAGCAUCUCUUUCGAGAUGUUAUGCCGGACGAAGAGGCAGAUUAUCUACGCGUUACUCACCCGUUUGCCACUAAGUUUAAAGCCGAAGCUCUAAACUCCGUUCGACUUGCAUGUGUUAGGCACGCCGCCAGCGUUGUUCCUCGAGCACGGAGUCAAACUACU
This 335-nucleotide ribosomal RNA is filed under the name uncultured cyanobacterium. Its description in RNAcentral is "partial 16S ribosomal RNA". Lineage: Bacteria; Bacillati; Cyanobacteriota. The record is from RNAcentral.